AAGGUGAGGGAUAGCGAAGUAGUAGGUGGCAGAAGGGAGGGUGACGGGGUUUUAUUUAUUUAUUUUUUUAAGGGGAGGAGGGGGUAUCGAUUUUAGGAGGGUAGGAGGUGUGUGCGGUGGCGGAGAUCGAGUGUAGGGUGGGGAGUGUGCGGCGGCAAAGGAUGGAAGAGGCUUGGGUUAGGUAAAGGGUCGAUGGAUUGGGAGGGAAGGGGAGGGCUAGGCCGUGGGCUCGAGUGCGAGAGGGGGUGGGGCAGGACAGUUAGGGGUUGGACAGGGGG
This 278-nucleotide long non-coding RNA is filed under the name Ananas comosus (pineapple). RNAcentral describes it as "long non-coding RNA (ACOM_LNC038573)". Lineage: Eukaryota; Viridiplantae; Streptophyta; Magnoliopsida; Poales; Bromeliaceae. The record is from RNAcentral.